CGCGGGGUAGAGCAGUUGGUAGCUCGUCGGGCUCAUAACCCGGAGGUCGUAGGUUCAAGUCCUGCCCCCGCAACCA
RNAcentral lists this transfer RNA (76 nucleotides) under Oscillibacter valericigenes. Its description in RNAcentral is "tRNA-Met". It matches the Rfam family "tRNA". From Rfam's summary of the family: Transfer RNA (tRNA) molecules are approximately 80 nucleotides in length. Their secondary structure includes four short double-helical elements and three loops (D, anti-codon, and T loops). Lineage: Bacteria; Bacillati; Bacillota; Clostridia; Eubacteriales; Oscillospiraceae. RNAcentral also lists the same sequence under 5 other names. The record is from RNAcentral.